UACGUAGGGUGCGAGCGUUAAUCGGAAUUACUGGGCGUAAAGCGUGCGCAGGCGGUUCGUUAAGUUCGAUGUGAAAGCCCUGGGCUCAACCUGGGAAUGGCAUUGGAAACUGGCGACCUAGAGUGCGGUAGAGGGUAGUGGAAUUCCCGGUGUAGCAGUGAAAUGCGUAGAGAUCGGGAGGAACAUCUGUGGCGAAGGCGACUGCCUGGACCAGCACUGACACUGAGGCACGAAAGCGUGGGGAGCAAACAGG
This 253-nucleotide ribosomal RNA is filed under the name uncultured bacterium. Its description in RNAcentral is "partial 16S ribosomal RNA". It matches the Rfam family "Bacterial small subunit ribosomal RNA", at positions 524 to 776 of the family's 1533-position model. The record is from RNAcentral.